UACGGAGGAUCCAAGCGUUAUCCGGAUUCAUUGGGUUUAAAGGGUGCGUAGGCGGAUUUAUAAGUCAGUGGUGAAAGCCUGUUGCUUAACAACAGAACUGCCAUUGAUACUGUAAGUCUUGAGUACAUUUGAUGUGGGCGGAAUGUGUCAUGUAGCGGUGAAAUGCUUAGAUAUGACACAGAACACCGAUUGCGAAGGCAGCUCACAAAACUGUAACUGACGCUGAGGCACGACAGCGUGGGGAUCAAACAGG
This 253-nucleotide ribosomal RNA is filed under the name bacterium. RNAcentral's name for it is "partial 16S ribosomal RNA". It matches the Rfam family "Bacterial small subunit ribosomal RNA", at positions 524 to 776 of the family's 1533-position model. RNAcentral also lists the same sequence under 1 other name. The record is from RNAcentral.